Equus caballus (horse) is the source of this 1667-nucleotide long non-coding RNA. RefSeq lists it as uncharacterized. The record is from RefSeq and is a predicted model, not a curated record. NCBI's taxonomy places the organism in Eukaryota, Metazoa, Chordata, Mammalia, Perissodactyla, Equidae.
UGUCCAGCUGUGAAGAAGUCGCUGGUCCGGGCUCGCCUCCUGCCACUGGCAGUAAAAAACGCACGAAGUGCAGGAGGCCGGGAUUCGCAGAUGUGACAGCACAGGAUGGACUCCAUGGGAGAGGGGACACGGGAGGCGAGUGCCGGGUUUGCCCCGCGUCCUGCCUGUGUUGAGAUGUGGAGCCCAGGCAGAGUUCAGAGGUCACGUGGAGCUGAGGAGGCAGAGCCGGGGUUGGGAGCUGCUGAGGCAUUUCACCGUCUCAGGGUGAAGGACAAAACUGAGGAGGACCAGCCCUGAUGAAGCGUGAAACCAGCAGUCCCAACAACCCCAACCCACACCCGAUGAUGGGCACACGUACGUGUUCCAUCUGCACAAUGCGAUGCGAGUCAGCCACAAAGCAGAUGAAGCACUGACACACUGCAUGUGGAUGAACCUUGAACACGUCCUGCUGAGUGAGCACAGCCACACACAGAAGAGCACAUGUUGUGUGACUCCAUCUAAGUGAAGUGUCCAGAAGAGGAUGUAGCUGACAACAUGGACAAAAGGAGAGAACUGAUGGGGGAAUUUCAUCAGAGAAAUGGAAGCCAUAAGAUUGUCACUGGGCAGGCUGAACAGCACACAGGAAACUGCAGAGGAAAAGAUUCACAGGAAGUCACAGGACAGAUGGCACAGAGACGUCCCCUGCAGAUUCCUCAUCUGUAACGUGCAUGACAUCUUGCACAGUCCAGCACCAGGGCCAGGACGUUGCGUUGUGCAAAGCAUGUGCCUAGUUCUCGCGGUUUAUCACACGUGCAGGUUCCCGCGACCACCACCGCGAUCUGGAGCACAUCUGCUGCGUCGCCACAGAGACCUUCCUCCUGCUGGCCCUUUACAGUCAUACCUUCCCACCCUCCUCCUCCUGUGACAGCCCCACCCCUGCAACCACUAAUCUGUCCUCCGACUCUGUAGUGUUGUCAUUUCAAGAGUGUUGUGUAACUGGAAACGUACUGUGUGUGACUCUUCGAGACCAGAUUCUUUCACUCAGUGUUGUGCCCCAGAGACCCACCCGAGUGUCGCUGGAGCAGUAGUUACUUCCUUCUGCGGCUGGGUGUGCUCCACGUGGGGCUGCAGCACGGUUUGCUUAGCCAGGCACUAUUGCAGGGCACUGCGGCUGUUUCCAGUGUGGCUAUUACAAGCACGGCUGCUAGGAAUAAUGGUGCGCAGGUUUCCGUGGGGACAUGCCUCUUCCUUUCUCUGGGGUCAGCGCCCGGGAGUGCCAUUGUUGGGUCAUGCGAGAAGCACGUGCUUAGCUUCCUAAGAAGGCCGGGCCAUUUCCCAGAGUGGCAGCCCUGCUUUCCAGCCCACCAGCCAUGGACAAGGGAUCCAAAUUCUCCACAUCCUUGCCAGCAUUCAGUGAGGUCGCUGUUUUCUGUUCCGGCCAUUCUGGUGAGUGCAUGGUGACACUUCACCGAGGGUUAAUUUGCAUUUCCUCGAUGGGGAGGGAUGCGGACUUCUUUGCGUGGGUUUGUUUUCAUCCACAUCUCCUCUUUGGCGGGAAGUCUACUUGUGCCUUUUGUCCAUUUUCUAACUGGAUUGUUUUUUACUGUUGAAUUUUGAGCAUUCUUUAUAUAUUCUAGAUACGAGUCCUUCGUUGCCUAUGUGAUUUGCAAAUAUUUUAUCCCAGUCUC